Molecule: non-coding RNA, 65 nt
Filed under: Micromonospora krabiensis
Lineage: Bacteria; Bacillati; Actinomycetota; Actinomycetes; Micromonosporales; Micromonosporaceae
Source: RNAcentral
GCGGUGGCCCGGUCGGCCACCCCGGACGAGCGGCGGCGUACCCGGUCAGGCCAAGACGCCCCGAC